UCGCCUGUUUUUCAAAAACAUCUUUAAUUAAAAAAAUUAAUAUUGCCUGCCCAGUGUUAACCUAUCAACGGCCGCAGUAUUUUAACUGUGCAAAGGUAGCAUAAUCCUUUGUUUCUUGAUUGGAAACUAGAAUGAAUGGCGUGACGAAAGGUUAACUUUUUUUAUAUUACUUACAAUUUACUUUUAGAGUAAAAAAGCUUUAAAUAUUCAGAAAGACGACAAGACCCUGUAAAACUUUACUUUUUUAUGAAAUUUUUUAAAAUUGUUUCUUUCAUUUUUGAUCAAGUUUAGUUGGGGAGACUUUUAUUAUUAUAAACAAAAAUUAAUAUAACAUCUUGAAUGAUAUUUACAAACGUUUCUACUUCAGAACAAGUUACUUCAGGGAUAACAGCACUAUUUCUCUUUAGAGCUCUCAUCGUCAGAGAAACAUGUGACCUCGAUGUUGAAUUGAAGAUUCUAGAUUAAGCAGAAUUAACCUAAGAAAGUCUGUUCGACUUAUAACUCUUCACAUGAUCUGAGUUCCAAACCGGA
RNAcentral lists this ribosomal RNA (531 nucleotides) under Neonaesa rugosa. RNAcentral's name for it is "partial 16S ribosomal RNA". It matches the Rfam family "Bacterial large subunit ribosomal RNA", at positions 1796 to 2621 of the family's 2925-position model. Lineage: Eukaryota; Metazoa; Arthropoda; Malacostraca; Isopoda; Sphaeromatidae. The record is from RNAcentral.